UACGAAGGGGGCUAGCGUUGCUCGGAAUCACUGGGCGUAAAGCGCACGUAGGCGGACUCUUAAGUCGGUGGUGAAAUCCUGGAGCUCAACUCCAGAACUGCCUUCGAUACUGAGAGUCUCGAGUCCGGGAGAGGUGAGUGGAACUGCGAGUGUAGAGGUGAAAUUCGUGGAUAUUCGCAAGAACACCAGUGGCGAAGGCGGCUCACUGGCCCGGUACUGACGCUGAGGUGCGAAAGCGUGGGGAGCAAACAGG
This 253-nucleotide ribosomal RNA is filed under the name uncultured bacterium. Its description in RNAcentral is "partial 16S ribosomal RNA". It matches the Rfam family "Bacterial small subunit ribosomal RNA", at positions 524 to 776 of the family's 1533-position model. The record is from RNAcentral.